GGGCAGGAGCCUCCUGCUUCCCAGGUGAAGCUGCAGCCACCCAGCUGUGUGUGCGGACCCGGGCAUUUCUGUGCUCUUGGGGGCCAGGGACAGGCAGGGUCCCCGCCUCCUGGGGUGCAGCUACAGCCGCCCAAGCCAUGGCUACGGACCCAAGCAUCUCUGCACUCUCCGGGCCCGGGAAGCAGCCCCUUGCCCCAGCAGGCUCAGAAGUGCCUGCUCUCACUGCCUGGCCUCUCCCGGCGCCCUCUCCGAUCUCAGAGCAAAGUUGAGGCCAAGCCCAGAUAUUGAAGCUAUAAAGUUCUCUCUUAGCACUGCUUUGCUGUAUCUCACAGAUUUUGGUAGGCUGCAUUUCCAUGCUGAGGGAAUUCAUCACCACUAGACGGGACCUACAAGCAACACUCAAAGAGAAACUGCCUCAAAAAUGGCAAUAUCUUCUUUGUGCUUAAUGACCCUAACUUCAUGAAGACUUGGCAUAUAGGUUUCAUCCAUGUUGCAGCAUGUGUUAGAAUUUCACUUACUUCUAGAUUCAAUGCAAUCCCCAUCAAAAUAUCAACAUCAUUCUUCACAAAAUUAGCAAAAACAAUUUAAAAAUUUAUAUGUAACCGAAAAAGAAAAGUGCAAAUAGUGCAAGCAAUCCUGAGCUGAAAGGACAAAGCUGAAGGCAUCACAUCACACUACCUGACUUCAAAAUACAUUACAAGGCUAUAGUAAACGACAUGGUAUUGGUAAAAAUACACACAUGGAACAAUGAAACAAUUUAAAAAGCAGAAAAUGUCAUGUAUUUAUAACUAACUAAUCUUCGACAAAGAUGACAAGAGCUUACAUUGAGGAAAGAGAACCCUCUUCAAUAAAUGGUGCUGGAAAAAUUGGAGAGCCAAAUGCAGACAAAUAAAACUGGAAUUCUAUCUUCCACACAUGCAACAAUUAACUUACAACAAAUUAAAGAUUUAAAUAUAAGACAAGAAAAUACAAAAAAUACUAAAAGAAAAUCUAGGAAAAAGUAUUUUGGACAUUUGUCUAGGCAAAACAUUUAUGAAGACCUCAAAAGCACAAGCAACAAAAACAAAAACAGACAAGUGGGGCUAUAUUAAACUAAACAGCUUCUGCACAGCAGAGGAAACAACACAGUGAGGAGAAAACCUGUUGAAUGAGAGAAAAUAUUUGCAAACUAUCCACCCAACAGGGGCCUAAUGUCAAGAAUAUAAAAGGAACUCAAACAACUGAACAGGAAAAGACCAACUAAUUACAAAUAAUCCCAUACAACAGCGGGCAAAGGACAUGAAUAGAUAUUUUUCAGAAGAAAACACAAAUGGCCACAGGUGCAGCUCAUGCCUAUAAUUCCAGUACUUUGGGAGGCUGAGGUGGGCAGAUUGCUUGAGCUCAGGAGUUGGAAACCAGCCUGGGUAACAUGGUGAAUCCCCAACUCUACAAACAAAUACAAAAAUUAGCCAGGUGUGGUGGCAUGUACCUGUGAUCCCAGCUACUCAGGAGGCUGCACUGGGAGGGUCACAUUGAGCCUGGGAGGUCGAAGCUACAGUAAGCAGUGAUCAUGCCAACACACUCCAGCCUGGGUGACAAAGUGAGACCCUGUCUCAAAUAAAUAAAUAAAUAAAUUAAAUUAAUUAAAUAUUUGCAUUCAUUGUACAGAUGGCGGACAAAGGACCUGAUGUUAGGUUUGCCUGACAAUGACCCUCUACAUCAUAAACAGCAACAUAGCUCUUUUUUAAUAUUAAUGAAGUGUCCAUUAAUUAUUUCCUGUUUUCUUAGAACAGAAAAAAAAUAGGAGACUUUUUGGAGUCCUUUAAACUGGAGAUAUUAGUGGUGUAGAUAGCAUGUUAGCAAGCAGGAUUGGAGAAAUAUUUGAAAAACAAGAGUUGACAAGAUCAAUUUCCUGGAUGUAGCAUGGAUGUUGAUUAAAGAAACAAAUUUUUGAGGUUAAAUUACUGGAUUACAAUUCUGACUUCAUUAUUUACCAGCUGUGUGAUCUUGGGCAAGUUACUUGAUUUUCCUGUAUCUUAGACUUCUCAUUUAUAGAUUAGUAACAAUAUUUAUUUCUUUGGUACUUUAUAACAAUUAAAUAAAUUGAAAGACAAGGCUCUUAGA
This 2103-nucleotide long non-coding RNA is filed under the name Homo sapiens (human). Its description in RNAcentral is "HSALNT0369536". Lineage: Eukaryota; Metazoa; Chordata; Mammalia; Primates; Hominidae. The record is from RNAcentral.